Molecule: long non-coding RNA, 1497 nt
Organism: Oryzias melastigma (Indian medaka)
Lineage: Eukaryota; Metazoa; Chordata; Actinopteri; Beloniformes; Adrianichthyidae
Exons: 3
Source: RefSeq, a predicted model, not a curated record
GCAGUCCUUGGCGCAGCGGUUUGCGCGUUUGGUUAUCAACCCAAAGACAGUGGGUUCGAAAUCGGUCGGAGUCUCAAUUAUCGUUAUUAUUUUAUUUUUGUAAAAAAAAAUAUUAUAAGUGGUUCAUACGUAAAUUUUGAGAAUCAGAAUAAACAAAUACUUCUUGCAACACAAUUCCAGGCAGUUACGUCGUUUCUGUUCAGGAUGGUGGGGGUGUGGCGUGCGGCGCCAAAAUUCCCUUUUCGCCAUGCAGCCCAGAACAGAUGUUGUGUUUCCCGGGUCUCAGGCAUCGUUGAUUUAUUUAUUAACACUCAUAUUUUGUCCAAAAAGCGUAAAAAGGGUGAAGAAUUAGGACAAACUUUUUCUGGGGCUUUAUUCUGGGCCAAAAUAAAGUCUGUCGUAAUCAUCCACCUUCUUUUUACGCCUUUGGGGACAAUAUAUGAGUGUUACAUUACAAAUCAACUAUACCUGAUGAGAUCAGAAAGACGCAUUCUGACAGGAGGAAUGCACCUUGUCGCCAAACUUUAUUGACAAGUCAAAACAGAACAAAAAUCGUCUUCAGCAUGAAAACAAAUGUUGUGCGCCAUCUAGUAUUCAUACAUUGCAUAGGUUUUCAUCUAAACAACUUGUUCUUUUCCCCCCAAACCAGUAUUCAAAUCUCAUAUAAUUUAGCUGAAUAUGAAUUAACAAAUAAAAAAAAAAAUUCUUACAUCAUUUCAAACUCAUAAAAUGGCGCUUACAAGCAGCUUCCUCCUAACAUUGUGCCAAUAACAUAAUGUGUAUAACAUUAAAGUCUUUUUCAAUGGAACACUUUUUAAGGCAAAUGUUGUGAUACUAAAAGAUGUGUACUCUUAACUAGGAGUCAGUUCUGGAUGGAUCUCUUUGGUGACUUGAGGGAGCGGCAUCUCUUCAAUGGCAGCUAUCUGCAUAUCUGUUUAGUCAGAUUCUGCUUCCUUGAUGUCCUGCAGAAAGAACUCGAUGAAUACAAGCAGAUCUGGAACACUCAUACCAUUCGCCCCGUUCGUCAGUCCCAGUGCCCAUCUGACAAACCCGAAGCGAUGGACCACGUGCCUCACAGGUUUGAUGGAAGGAAUUGUGGCUUCCCAACAUCUGCAGAGGCCAUUACACUGUUCAGCAGCCAGAUGCCACCUGCAACUACUCUGGACUCUGACGAAGAAGAUCUUGAAGCUCACUUUUCUCAGCUGCAGAGACAAAGUGGAUUGCCAACUCCUCUCGACUGGGAAGCUGCUACUGAAAACUACAUUAAACUUAAGAACAUGGCCAAUCUUUAAUGGCAUACUUAAGAUGAGUUGAAGCUGGACUGCCCUGAUAUGUAGCUGACCAGAUCCUUUGAGAGGAAAUUUGGACCAGGUCCACCAUGCACGAUGGACACAGAUAUCAUCUUCCCUGCCAAACUGUAUUCGUUCUCUCUUACAGCUGCUCGUAGAAAUUCAGAAUAAUUGUUAAUUAAUCUACAAUAAAUACAUAUAAAUUACA